Long non-coding RNA from Monodelphis domestica (gray short-tailed opossum), 1200 nucleotides. RefSeq lists it as uncharacterized. The record is from RefSeq and is a predicted model, not a curated record. NCBI's taxonomy places the organism in Eukaryota, Metazoa, Chordata, Mammalia, Didelphimorphia, Didelphidae.
UAGAGAAUGCAGGGUGCAAGAGCAGCCCAAUCUAAGCCACUCCAACCAGUUAGUGAAGACAGGGAGGUUAAAAAUAUAAUCUAUUCGAUUGUGGUAGCAGAAGUCCUGAGGCAGCUAAGUGGCAGAAUGGCAACUAGUCCAGACUAAGCUAUUUGUUUUGAGUAGCAAUGGCAGAGAGGGUAGAAAUUGAUGCACUCUGAUGUGGCCACAGAAUGCCUGAGGUAGCAAAGGGCCAAAGUGGGGGACUGGCCUAGCCUAAGAUACUCUGUAAGGAUAGCUAAGAUAGAAGAGAGGAGACAAUACACUUCCAUGUGGCCUGAGGCAGUGAAGUUGCAGAUGACCUGAGGGCUGGAGGGAGGAGCAAAGAAAUAAUCCCAAAGGCUACAUUUAAAGAAGUUAGCCACAGCUCUGAAGCUAGCCACAUCUUUCAUUUCCCACUCAUGGAUGGACAGGACUCCAACGUGCCUUUUGACCCUCCAAACUUCAGCAACUACUCCCCUGAUGAGUCAGCAGCUAUUAAUAUUGAGAUGAAGAAAACUGAAGUUCAGACACAAGUGUUUCCCUAAGAAGACAUUAAGAGAAGGGGACAAAAGAGCCAUUAUACAGUGCCAAGGAGCACAAGGCCAAAAAGGAUCAAACCAAUCCAGGUAGGAUUGAUGGACUUCUAAGUCAAUAAGAAAGGACUUGUACCUAGUGUGAGACUUGAGGUUGCAGUGCCUGUAUCCACACUCUUUUGUGAAAUACUCACAGACAAGUACCAAAGUUUGGCUAUCAUUCUGGCUCCCCCUAUCCCUGAGAGUGAACUUAAAAACCAUCCAGGGAAUGACACUUCCCUAUCACAAAAAAUCUAGUCCUCUUUUCCCUUGUAUAGUAUGGCAACUUCCUGUAGUCUUGGCUUCAAAUGGGUAAGUGAAAUAUUACUGCAUUCUGUCCUACAGACUUGUGGGAUAGGAAUUACUUUAAUUGGGCUCUGAUUCAAAAACCUGUUAUAGGUUUAUUUUUUCCUUUACUUGGAAUUUUUACACAAAAGACUUUGAUAGUCUAUAUUUCAUCCAGAAGUUAUCUUUUCCUGGUGACCGUAUUCUUAAAUAAUCCAGUUCAACCUUUUAUAAAACCCCUCAACAUUUUCUAACCCCUUUACAAGUACUAACUAUGUAUCUAAUGUAUCAAACAAUGUCCUACAUACUAGGAAUAAAGAGA